Molecule: transfer RNA, 72 nt
Filed under: Bos taurus (domestic cattle)
Lineage: Eukaryota; Metazoa; Chordata; Mammalia; Artiodactyla; Bovidae
Also listed under: 3 other names
Rfam family: tRNA
About the family: Transfer RNA (tRNA) molecules are approximately 80 nucleotides in length. Their secondary structure includes four short double-helical elements and three loops (D, anti-codon, and T loops). Further hydrogen bonds mediate the characteristic L-shaped molecular structure. tRNAs have two regions of fundamental functional importance: the anti-codon, which is responsible for specific mRNA codon recognition, and the 3' end, to which the tRNAs corresponding amino acid is attached (by aminoacyl-tRNA synthetases). tRNAs cope with the degeneracy of the genetic code in two manners: having more than one tRNA (with a specific anti-codon) for a particular amino acid; and 'wobble' base-pairing, i.e. permitting non-standard base-pairing at the 3rd anti-codon position.
Source: Rfam by way of RNAcentral
UCCCUGGUGAUCCAGUGGUUAGGACUCAACACUUUCACUGCUAUGGUCCAGGUUUCAUUGCUGGUCAGGGAA